UACGUAGGGUGCAAGCGUUAAUCGGAAUUACUGGGCGUAAAGCGUGCGCAGGCGGUGAUGUAAGACAGUUGUGAAAUCCCCGGGCUCAACCCGGGAACUGCGUCCGAUACUGGAAGGCUUGAAUCCGGGAGAGGGAUGUGGAAUUCCAGGUGUAGCGGUGAAAUGCGUAGAUAUCUGGAGGAACACCGGUGGCGAAGGCGACAUCCUGGACCGGUAUUGACGCUGAGGCGCGAAAGCCAGGGGAGCAAACGGG
This 253-nucleotide ribosomal RNA is filed under the name uncultured bacterium. RNAcentral describes it as "partial 16S ribosomal RNA". It matches the Rfam family "Bacterial small subunit ribosomal RNA", at positions 524 to 776 of the family's 1533-position model. The record is from RNAcentral.